Macaca mulatta (Rhesus monkey) is the source of this 385-nucleotide non-coding RNA. NCBI's taxonomy places the organism in Eukaryota, Metazoa, Chordata, Mammalia, Primates, Cercopithecidae. The record is from RefSeq and is a predicted model, not a curated record.
CGGGGCACGCCGGGAUAUGUAGUUUCUGGCCGCUGCCCUCCGGGAGGUCCUGUGCUAUCUACUUCACAGUGACUUGUCUCUGCCUGGUGAACUCACGGUGUUCUGCUAAUCUUGGAAAAAUCAUGUCCCUCUUCGUCCUCGCCCAUGAUGGCCGCAUGGAGAGUAAAACACAGAAAUGUGCUGUCUGGUCUUUCGUCUCUUCAGCAUGAAUUAUUUCUUGCCCUGUCGACAAGUUAAUAGCCAAGCCUCAACGUGAGAUGGAGAGACUGCCCAUCAAACCACAGCCAUAUUCAUCAAGCUUUGAGCCGAUCCGGUGAAGGAGAAAUGAGCACUGCAUACAUUUCAGGGAAAGGGACCAAAUAAAGCUUUUAAUAGGAAAUGAAAA